Molecule: transfer RNA, 72 nt
Filed under: Stylophora pistillata
Lineage: Eukaryota; Metazoa; Cnidaria; Anthozoa; Scleractinia; Pocilloporidae
Description: tRNA-Met
Rfam family: tRNA
About the family: Transfer RNA (tRNA) molecules are approximately 80 nucleotides in length. Their secondary structure includes four short double-helical elements and three loops (D, anti-codon, and T loops).
Source: Rfam by way of RNAcentral
AGCAGAAUGGCGCAGCGGGAGCGUGCUAGGCCCAUAACCCAGAGGUCCGAGGAUCAAAACCUCGUUAUGCUA